RNAcentral lists this transfer RNA (66 nucleotides) under Calliptamus italicus (Italian locust). RNAcentral describes it as "tRNA-Phe". It matches the Rfam family "tRNA". Rfam says of the family: Transfer RNA (tRNA) molecules are approximately 80 nucleotides in length. The record is from RNAcentral. Lineage: Eukaryota; Metazoa; Arthropoda; Insecta; Orthoptera; Acrididae.
ACUCAAAUAGCUUAUAUUUAGAGCGUGACACUGAAGAUGUUAAGGAAAUAAAUUUAUUUUUGAGUA